UCCCCUGAAUCGGCAGGCGGACUCACAACCGCUGCGCCACCAGGGAAGCCCCAUAUUCUUAAUAUGUCUCACUUGUUGCAAAAAUAUCUGAUUGAUUCAUUAAACUGUGCUUAAUAGAUUGAGUUAUAUUAUAAAUCAUGCAACGGUUUAACAUUAAAAUAAAAAUUAGUAGCUAACCCAGAGGGGCAAGGACGCUUCUUCUGCCUGAUCCCUUCUUUCAUCGUGAGCAUACGGAUUGUCAUCUACCCCUUCCGAAGCAGACAGACUUCCUUUUGCAUAGAUUCAAGCUUGCCUUCCUUCUGAUGAAUACUGAGCACUGAAACCAAAAGGAUUUCCUGUCCCCGUGUUACAUGGUGCUGGGACCAAGCACACAAACCAGCAGACAAAACGACGGCCAGGUUGCCUUCUCCUGGGGCCCUGGUCCCGGAAGAUGAGCCGCAGCAGAGACUCUGCUUUUGGGACUCCUUCGAGACCCUCCCUUUGCUGCACCCACCAAUCCAAGGCUACUUCAUCAUACACUCUGCCCAAUUCCAACAAUUCUUCACUUUUCAAGACUUGCCAAGAAUCUCUGCACUCAGGCCCCAUCACCAAUGAGUGCUGUCUGCUGACAUUGCUCUCUGAGCACCGAUGCCAGCCAGGAUGUGGCUAUGAUUUCCAGUACUUUUACCGGGGAAGAUCGGCCAGUCGGCGGUCACAGUUGGUGACUGAGAGAAGGAAAACCUCGGUGACAGCAAGCCUGUGAAGAGCCCAGAUGGGGUCUCUGCUCCCCACCUGGCACAACAGUAAACAAGCGAAGGGGGUAGUCAGACUUUCUCCUCUCCGCAGGUCGUCUUAAGGGCUUUUAGCUUUCUCUUGAAUCACCAUUGAGCUGAGCGGGACUCGACACUGAUGCUAAUCCUGCAUCCACACACUGAGGAGUUUCCCCAUCUCCUCCAUCACUUUUCCACGUUUCUUCGAUAUUAUUGCCUACAUCAUCCACACAGCAGACUUCACCUGUUCCACGAUCUUGUCCUUGUUCUUUAGAAUCGUGCCGAUGGUUGAACAAGUCUGUUAUAAGAUCGAGCGACGUCUACCAUGGAGCCUCCAGACGCCCAAACCGCCGUUAUUAAAUGUUGAUCCAUUCCACUCUUGUACCUCCUUGCCGAGUGUUUUCUAAGGGCAUUGUGUGCAUAUGUAUUUUAUCCCACUACUUUUUUUUUUUUUUUUUUUGCGGUACGCGGGCCUCUCACUGU
Long non-coding RNA from Delphinapterus leucas (beluga whale), 1232 nucleotides. RefSeq lists it as uncharacterized. The record is from RefSeq and is a predicted model, not a curated record. Lineage: Eukaryota; Metazoa; Chordata; Mammalia; Artiodactyla; Monodontidae.